UCUGCUAAAUCUACAAUGUGAGGGGGGCGACUUUUGUUCAGAGACUCGGUGGAAAAGACGACUGUAACUUAUUCGAAUCCGGAUCCAAAUUUGCAGCUUCAACACACGCGGCUCAACCCGCAACCUGGUAUAGAGCUCCGUCAGAUCUGCUUCCAUCGGAGUUUUUUCCCGCUCAAAUCUGGUCCUAAGGCUUCCUCAGGUAACCAUAACGCUCUUUCUUGCUUGGUUUAACACAUUUUAUGAAGAACAAGACCCUUUGGACGUGGACUUGGAACUUUGUUGCUGCUGGGUUUGUUUCAUGUUUCUACCAUGCUUGACUUCAGAUUAUUUUCGUGAUUAUGGCCUGUUCCUGUUUAUGUUUAGCAUUGGGUUGUGAAAUAAAGUACAUAAAUUAUAAGAGCUAGCUUGUUUGGGAACUUGUUUCGUGCGUUUGGUGAAAAUGAAACCCAGAAAUGGUGAAAAGAAAGUUGCAGAAGGAAAAUGUUGAAGAAUAAAGUUUCUUCGUACAGACUACAUGUUCUUUUUCUCAAAUUGCAUUUUGACCCCCAAAGUUUAAUUAAUUUCACUAUGGCUCAAAUACUUUUCACAGUUGAACCAAUUUUGCCCUUUUAAAAUUUUAAUCUUCUUCUGAUUGUGAUAUGUGACUUGUUGUGUAGAUUAAUCUUGGGAUUUAAUGCAUGAUUAAGGUCCAGCAUUUUUUUUUUGAUUUAUUACUUUCUUGGAUUAGUAAAAUAGAUUAAGACUUGGGUUAAUACUUUCUUAGGGUUUCUUGGGGCAGAUUAAUGUUGAGAAUGUGGUUGGGUUUAGUAAAUGGGUUUGGUUUAAUUUACUUGGGUUUUUCUCUUGGGCUUAGGAGGCAAUAGCCUACACUUUCUAAUUGGGUUUGUUUGGUGUAAGAUUAUGGUCCGAUCCGUACAUUUUUCUUGUUUUUUGAUCGGGCUUAGGGAGCCUUGGCCCAAAGAAAGAAAAAAUGGCCCACUGAUGUUCUUAAGAAAUCAGAAAAUGAAUUUGCAAAUGGGUCCCUAUACUUUUGAGUAUUUUCACUACAUCCUUAAAAACUUUUAAUUUAUUUCAAUUAGGUCCCUUAUUGAAAUUCAAAUAGGUCCCUAAAUUUUAUUUUUAUUCAAUUUAGACCCCUAUUCUUUAUGAUAAUUACUAAUUGACCUCUAAAACUUUCUUAUUUUUGCAAUUAAAUCCCUGACAGAAUUGUUGUCUUAAAUAGAAGUAGCUUUUCCUUCUUAAUUAUGAAUUACGCUCCAUUUGAACGCUUCAAUUGAUUGAUUUCGUGCUUAUUUCCAUUUUUAUGAAUUAUGUGUUAAUUAAAUUGGUGCCUUGAUGAUUUUUGUUAAUUUUGGAGUUAAAUAGGGCAAAUCCACACCCCAAUUAGUUACUACGUCAAGGGAGGUAUAUUCUCGUGUUAUUUUAAAUCUUCCUACGUGCUCCUAUGUGAUUUUUUGUGUGUAAUUGCAUGCCUCUUGAAUGUUUUUUAUUAUUUAUUUAUUUAUUUCAUUUAUUUAUUUAUUCGCUUUAUUGGCUUUAGUUUUGUGUAUUUAUUUCAAUCAUUUAAAAGGCACUUGAAUGCCAAAGUUGUAAUAGUUAGGAAUUUAUUUAUUUAUUUAUUUUUAUUUAUUCCUCUCCCCCCUUAGAUUGUAGUAGGCAUCCCCAAAUGUAAUACAUAGGACUUGUGUGCUAUGUGAUUGUAUAUGCCUAUAUGCCUAUGUGUUCAAUUGCUUUCCCUAGGCUUCUGCAUCUAGAUAAGCAUGCUUAUGUGCUACGUGCUAUGUGAAACUACAUGCUUUGCAUGUCUAUUUACUUUAGUAUUAUAUCUGAUUAUGUGGAUGGAAUGCACGUUACCGUGGCUAGUCCAAUGCUAGUCAUGGUCUUCCCCUCGAGCUCUCACAAGUCCAAUGCUUGCGAGAGAGAGUUAGUAAAGGGCUAGUCCAACGCUAGACCCUUAGAAAUCAUUCUACGCGUUAGAUCAUGAUUGUGUGAUAAAAUCACUUCAUCUCAUGCAUAUCUUUACUUUCUAGGGCCUCUUUUACCAUGUUGCAUGACACUUUCCUUAUAUAUGUAUAUCCCUUCCUCCAUAUUUUCCCUUAUAUGUAUAUUACUUGUCCCUUUGUAUAAAACAUGAUAUUAGACUUGCAUUAGAAUUAGAUUAGAUCAUUUGCUUGGUUAGAUAGGAAAACCCCUUGGAUAUGGGAUAUGGACGAGUUUAGUUUUCUACCCUUAGCACGCUCAUAUUCUCUCUAUUAAAGGAAAAAUUGAGUCACAAACAUUAGUCCCCCGUAC
RNAcentral lists this long non-coding RNA (2292 nucleotides) under Coffea arabica (coffee). RNAcentral describes it as "long non-coding RNA (CARA_LNC007536)". Lineage: Eukaryota; Viridiplantae; Streptophyta; Magnoliopsida; Gentianales; Rubiaceae. The record is from RNAcentral.